CAUACGCACACACGUCUUCCAUAUAAUGACACUGUCAGGGCUUUAUUUGUAGCCAGUGCAUCUUCAUUGUGCAGCUGGCCAGGACUUACAGCAAACUACAUCACUGCACUCCUCACGGGGAACUUAAAGCAGCCUCAUCAUCAGCAUCCUCAGUGUGCGUUAUCUCCCGACAAGGUGACCGACAUCCCUCCUAGAUAGCAGCCUCUUGAGCGCAUGCCAGCUUUGAAAACGACUUUAACACACACGCACGAGCCAAGAAGCUGACUCAGUGUGAUGCAAGACCACGGCACCGGUGCUCUAUCGCACUCCACUUCAUUAACCUCCUGAAUGACAAGGUGGAUAGAUCGGAAGCUGCAGUGGCCGUGGAAUCCCCCCUCCUCGUCCUCCUUUUACCGGUGUGUAAAGUGAGUGCAUAUGUGUGUGUGCUGAUCCAGCAGAUGCAGACUGGAGCCACCAAUAGCAAGAGGCGAAGGGGAUGGAGAGGGUGUGUGAGAGAUGGCAGAGGAGGGGUCUGGUAGCAUUACAUCAUGGGCGAGGGAAACGGUUGUGUUCUGCAGGAGGUGGGGGAAGGUGUGUGUGUGUGUGUCCUUGUAUAUUUUCUGCAGGAUGAUUAAACAUGCUCAUGAUGCACCUGCACAGAGCUGUGAUUAACAACCAUUCAGAGGGAGACAGUAAAUAAUCAGAGCUUUCAACAUGUAAUAGAGGCAAAAAGUAAAUAGCAGAUGGACAUUUGCAAAAACGCCCUUUUCCAAGCCCCUAAUGGCUCUCUUGUCAGCCUGAACGAGCAUUGAUGGACAUCUUAGGAAACAAGGCGCUGACAUUUUGGGUGUGGAAGAAGCUUUGUGCAGGAGCAUACACCCAUCACCUGUUAGCGGAGUCUAAAAACGAACAGUGAGGGGAGCGAAUUUUUUUUUGGGGGGGGGGGGCGGGUGGUGUCAAGCGAAAAAACAAUGACGGCUCAGGGUCAUCCCAGCCCCUCGGCUCAUGAGAAUGAGACACCAGCCGCACAGGAAACAUACUGAUAAGGAAGUCUUUCUCUCGUGCUUAAAUGUUGAAUAAGAGUUGAUGCGCAAGGCGUAUGGGCAGGCCUCGCAUCAAGGUCGGCAUGUAGAAAGAAGACACAUCAAGUUGGGAGACAGUUUGGUUACACUUCAGAAGAUAACUGGAGCAGACCUCUGCCAAGACUUUUCUAGAUGCAUGCAAUCCAUCCAUCUAUUUUCUCAACUGGUGAUACUGCUCAGGAUUUCUUUCUUUUGGCAAAGGCAGGAAGGGGCAUUUGCGUCGUUGUGGGAGGGAAUUGAGCCAACUUGUUUGCCAUCCAAUGGAAAUGGGUCCUCUCGCACAGAGAGGCCCGCUGUCAACAUGGUACAAUGACUUGAGGGUGUCCAUGCAAGAGAUUGACACACAUAAAAUUUAAAAGGAAUUGCAAGAAGAUCUCCACUUAUCUGCGCCUCGAUAAAAUUCACCAAACUGGUGUUACACCACCCACGCCACUACUUAGACCUGCUUUUAACUGGUCUGUCGUGAAUUUUCUGUCACCAAAUUGACAUUGCGCCCAUGGCAUGUCAUUAAAGAUAGUCUGCCUCAAGAACUUACUGUAUAAAGGGAUGUGAGUCACAGUCCAAAACACCGUCAUUGAUAAUACAGCAGUAUGCGGUAGCAAUGAUUUUAAUGAAAAGUUAGUGAAACCUAAAACUCCUUAACAUUUUUUUUCCAUACAUGCAAAUUGAAAUGGAAAAACUGCACAUUCUCUUGCACAACGAAAUAUGAAGAACAAAGUAUCAAAUUCCUUCAAAGACAGCGUAGGAAAGGAAAUAUUAUGCUCGGCCAAGAAACUCGACAAAUAAGACGUUAACACCUCACAGUUGAUAAACAUUUUAUGAUGGGUACAGGUAAUUUUCCUUUGAGAAGUGCCACCAUGAGGUACCCUGAAAUAUUGAGCCAUGAAGAAAUCAAUACUGCUGAAGUAGAACUGCCUGCAUGUUAGCAUACUGUAUUGAUAUUUUGAUACUUGUGGAUCAAUACUCUAUCAUGUUCUGAUCCAUUGUUUUAUUGAUAUUUUGCCCCACCUCUACUUUCCGAGUCAUCCUUCAAAGUCAGAAUUCAAAAUGUGUGUUGAAAUCACAAUAAUGCACUGCCAAACUAAUUUCUUGAUUAAUAAUAAUUUUUAAAAACUACAUUAAACAUCAAUUUAUGUCUAAAAGAGUGACUUUUUAAACGUACAUCUCCUUAACUAAUUAAUCCACAUUUUUCAAGUGGAAGAUGACUUUCAGUGCACGAGAUUAAAGGAGGUUUUUUUCCCCCUCUCAUAUCGCUCAUGAGAAAUGCUGACUCUGCAAGCUCCAUCCAUCAUGAGGACAGUGUUAUCUCUAAUAUAUGCUUGGAUUGGUUCCCUGGUUUGUGUUUCUGGAAAGGUAAAUCAUGUCUCGUUUUUUUUGUCACAUCGGUUCAGGUGAGUUCAUGUGAAAGGGGACGUAGUAUAAAAUAUGUCAUUUUUAUUUGCUUGUAGACAAAUAUGAUACCUGGAGGGUCUGCUCACCCAUAUAGGGUGAAAUGCAACAACCAAGUUCCUGUUUUUUAACUGCCUAUUUCUGUCUGAACAAGCUGUUCAACACUUCUGCCUCACUGUUACAUAACAGUGGGGCUAAUUUACAUAAUAACUGCCCACACCCACCUGUAAGUUUCUUCACCCAUGACUUGGGAGCGAUGGGCUAAAGAUGCAGAGCCUCUUUCAAGUGGAUUCUGGCAGCUAGACUCGACUUUAUAAGGCAAAGGUAGUACAUCUUGGCACCACCGUCCCCACUCUCGAGGACUUGCGCGCCGCAAGAACCAAGACAACGGUAUGGAAAAUUAUACUGGACCCUCCACACCAUGCCCACCACAUCUUUCAGGUACGCGCGAUCGAACCAUGCGCACCAAAACCAGCAGACAUUCAAACAGACUCUUCCUUUCGCCAUGAACUCUGUAAACAGUAACUCAAAUCUGAAGUGGUUCUUUGCAUUUUUCCACACCCCUUUGGAACAGUAUUUUAUAUAUAUAUAUAUACGCUGAUCAUUAUAGCUCCAGCUCGCUACAUACUUGAACAACUAUCAUUGUUCAAUAUUCCACAGCACCAGACACUUUAAACCCUUCAAGGAAUCUGUAUAGUUGCACACCUAAAGUUGUAUUACAACUACUGCUAUUGGUCAUUUAAAAAUGGUGCAAUAAUUAUCUGUAUUGUAUCUAUCGGAUUGUAUUUCACCACUGAUCACUUUAUCGCCGACUAUUGAUGACGAUGGACUUUGUAUCACAGCUGUCACCGAGUGGUAUGGCUUCACAAUGGUAACCUUACAUUACAGAAAGUUUUUCGAUACUCAUAUGUCCUAUCUUUGUUUAUCGUAGUUGCUUAUUAUUGCAAUACUAGUUUAGCCGAUACUCCUGGAUACAAAUUCCUUGUGUGUUUUACUUACUUGGCCAAAAAAGAGGAUCCUGAUUCAAGUGCAGCCUCCCUUUGUAAUAGUCACAAAAGCAACACUCCGAAAAUGAGCCAGUGGUUUAUCGGACAGGUUGAAGGCUGGAUGGCUUGCAUACGAUGAAUCCUCUCUCCUCAGAAUUGUUGACUUUCAAUUGAACAAAAAAGUUGGGUUUAAAUAGGCCUAUUAUUCUUAGACAAAAGCAUGUCACACACAGUACAUGCUAUUAAGACAUCUGGAGACUGUUUUAAGUUGUGAAAAAAAAGACGAGAUGUCCCCUUUUAUGGUAAAUAAAGCAUGUUUAGAACAGAGGCCUCAUUGGUCAUGCAUUCUUCAUUUCAUGUUUAGGAUUGAUUGCUUGAAGACAUUUUGCGGCCGAAACAAAUUGAAUGUGUAAUGGGGGCCUUUGUUAAUGGAAGUGAAUAAUUUAGGCGGUUCCAUUGUAGCGUUCUUGACAGGUGCCUAUUUAUUAUGAUGUCGACAGACGCAGCAGGAAAUAGGGGCACGUGAUGCAGCAUCACAGCGCAUUUACACAAGUACACAUGUUGGCAUACAAGCACUUAAACAUAAACAGCGCAGCCACUGCGUUUAUCUUCCUGGUUCCAGUGAAGUUGCUUCAAAACUAAACAAAGCUGUUUUGGGAUGACUCCGUUUGUAAAGUCAACAAGGGUUUCUGGAUAAUUGACGAAAGCGCAUUUGUCACAAAUGCUUUGGGACAUUUUAAGGGAGACAUUUCCAAGAAUGUUGUGCCUUUUCUCAACUGUUUGUUACAUCCGGGAAGACGAGUUAAUGUGGGGGGUUUUCAAGGCAUGGAGGCAAGCACAACCACAUGCAGACAGAGAACAGCUGGAGACAAAUGGCUAGUGAGGCCACUGUGUCAAAACACAAAAAUCAAAAGGAGGGACAUGAGCUUAGUAGACAAAUAGAAUAACAGUAAAAGAGAC
This is a long non-coding RNA of Hippocampus zosterae (dwarf seahorse), 4396 nucleotides long. RefSeq lists it as uncharacterized. The transcript has 3 exons. NCBI's taxonomy places the organism in Eukaryota, Metazoa, Chordata, Actinopteri, Syngnathiformes, Syngnathidae. The record is from RefSeq and is a predicted model, not a curated record.